This 76-nucleotide transfer RNA is filed under the name [Bacillus] caldolyticus. RNAcentral describes it as "tRNA-Ala". It matches the Rfam family "tRNA". From Rfam's summary of the family: Transfer RNA (tRNA) molecules are approximately 80 nucleotides in length. Their secondary structure includes four short double-helical elements and three loops (D, anti-codon, and T loops). The record is from RNAcentral. Lineage: Bacteria; Bacillati; Bacillota; Bacilli; Caryophanales; Anoxybacillaceae. RNAcentral also lists the same sequence under 44 other names.
GGGGCCUUAGCUCAGCUGGGAGAGCGCCUGCUUUGCACGCAGGAGGUCAUCGGUUCGAUCCCGAUAGGCUCCAUCA